RNAcentral lists this ribosomal RNA (275 nucleotides) under uncultured Actinomycetales bacterium. Its description in RNAcentral is "partial 16S ribosomal RNA". It matches the Rfam family "Bacterial small subunit ribosomal RNA", at positions 505 to 780 of the family's 1533-position model. The record is from RNAcentral. Lineage: Bacteria; Bacillati; Actinomycetota; Actinomycetes; Actinomycetales.
GUGCCAGCAGCCGCGGUAAUACGUAGGGCGCGAGCGUUGUCCGGAAUUAUUGGGCGUAAAGGGCUCGUAGGCGGUUUGUCGCGUCUAGCGUUUAAGGCUCGGGCUUAACCCGGGUUUGCGUUGGGUACGGGCAGGCUUGAGUGCGGUAGGGGUAACUGGAAUUCCUGGUGUAGCGGUGGAAUGCGCAGAUAUCAGGAGGAACACCGGUGGCGAAGGCGGGUUACUGGGCCGUUACUGACGCUGAGGAGCGAGAGCGUGGGGAGCGAACAGGAUUA